GUAGCGAUAGCGAAGUGCAGAACAGAGGAGGCGAGGCGAAUAGUAAAUUUUUAUUUCUUUAAGAAAAUCAUAUGCAGAAGAAGAACACUACAAACUCAAAGGUAUUUUUCGGGGUUUCUUUUACUUCUUUUCUUAAUAUUGUUUUUAUAUAAAUAAAGAUGCAGAAGAUAGUGAAUUUAUUGGUAUUUUCUGGGCUCUUUUGUUUGUCUUUAGUAAAAUGGGAAGAACUGAAGAACUCUUUGAGGAGCUUAUGAAUGUUGAAGUAGAGCUUCAAGACGUCCAAGGUAAGCUUAGUAUGCUGUUUUUUCAUAUUUUUUCCCUCUUUACCUCAUUAUAUUCGUUCAUCAAUAUGUCACUGUCUAACCAAAUUAAUCUAGAAAUGAACAAUUGCAAAAAGGAAUUGGGACAAUUUUCUGUUAUAUUGAAAUAAAGCAGAAUUGAACUACAAGCUAAAGAAAAGAGAACUGGAAAACUAAAUGAAAUAGUAAAUCUCCAUGACUGAAAUCUAGACCUGCAGAAGAGAGAAGGGACUGGGUUAGAGAAGAAGGAGAAAGGAAAUCGGCAAGUUUCUAGUUUCCAAAUAAGUGGUUUAGAGUCCGGUAGGUCAAUUAUGUGCAACGGGACUAAUUCCACGGGUGCCAACUAACUCCUGCCAACAUAGGUACCGGAUAACUUUGGCCACCAAGGCUUGGGCGGAUGGAAGAAAUCAUCUAGUAGUGACAUAUAGGCUUAUGAUUGUAUUUUGAAAUUUUCUAGUGUAAAUGGAGUAUUUUUAUUAUUGUAGAAAACAUUUGAGACUCUCUUUGCGUCUAAAGUUAAAUCCUUUUAGCAAUUUUGACUACCUCAGAUCUUAGAAUAAGUGUAUACUCUAACACAGUAGACCUAGUCAACAACUACAAAUGAAUAGUUAUUCUUGUUGCUAUAGACACAAUAGUGUAUACUGUAUUGUGUUUAUUAUUGUAGAAAACAUUUGAGACUCUCUUUGCGUCUCACGUUUAAUCCUUUUAGCAAUUUUGACUACCUCAGAUCUUACAAUAAAUGUAUACUCUAUUGUGUCUAUAGUGACAAGAAUAACUAUUCGUUUGUAGUUGUUAACUAGGUCUAAGUCCUGUUCCAAUCGUCUUCCCCAUACUGCAGUCCAGCAUGAUAAAGGAAUGAUCAAUAAAAUAUAUAACACAAUGGAGGGCACGAGUCAAACGACUAACAGAUGCAAGAUUAAAAGGACAGUCAGAGACAUAGAGAAUGGAAUCUAGAGUGACAGAGGGUAGG
This 1269-nucleotide long non-coding RNA is filed under the name Nicotiana benthamiana. RNAcentral's name for it is "long non-coding RNA (NBEN_LNC035935)". The record is from RNAcentral. Lineage: Eukaryota; Viridiplantae; Streptophyta; Magnoliopsida; Solanales; Solanaceae.